RNAcentral lists this ribosomal RNA (405 nucleotides) under uncultured prokaryote. Its description in RNAcentral is "bacterial SSU rRNA". It matches the Rfam family "Bacterial small subunit ribosomal RNA", at positions 355 to 774 of the family's 1533-position model. The record is from RNAcentral.
UGGGGAAUAUUGGGCAAUGGAGGCAACUCUGACCCAGCAACGCCGCGUGAGGGAAGAAGGUUUUCGGAUUGUAAACCUCUGUCCUAGGGGACGAAGAAAGUGACGGUACCCUAGGAGGAAGCCCCGGCUAACUACGUGCCAGCAGCCGCGGUAAUACGUAGGGGGCGCGCGUUGUCCGGAAUUACUGGGCGUAAAGGGUGCGUAGGCGGUUUGGUAAGUUAGAUGUGAAAUCCCCGGGCUUAACUCGGGAGUUGCAUUUAAAACUGCUGAACUAGAGUGCAGGAGAGGAAAGCGGAAUUCCUAGUGUAGCGGUGAAAUGCGUAGAUAUUAGGAGGAACACCAGUGGCGAAGGCGGCUUUCUGGACUGUAACUGACGCUGAGGCACGAAAGCGUGGGGAGCGAACA